This is a long non-coding RNA of Cucurbita maxima (winter squash), 256 nucleotides long. RefSeq lists it as uncharacterized. The record is from RefSeq and is a predicted model, not a curated record. The transcript has 3 exons. Lineage: Eukaryota; Viridiplantae; Streptophyta; Magnoliopsida; Cucurbitales; Cucurbitaceae.
UGCCAUUUCAAUAUUUUGAAACUGAUCUCUCGAAAGGCAUCUCUCCUCUUCCAUUUCUCCAUUUUCUGAAACACAUGGUUGCUGUACAGAAAUUUAUGGAAGCAGAGAUCACGGAGCAGGACUCUCUUCUCCUGCCCUCCACUCUUCAGGAGUUGCACAGGAACGGCACACCAUCCCUGGACUAAAAUCCAUCAAGGAUGGAGGUUGGAAACGUCAACAGCAAGCCUUUUUUAUUAGCUCUUGAGAGUAAGGGAUU